ACUCCUACGGGAGGCAGCAGUGGGGAAUAUUGGACAAUGGGCGCAAGCCUGAUCCAGCCACGCCGCGUGGGUGAUGAAGGCCUUCGGGUUGUAAAGCCCUGUCGGAGGGGACGAAGUCUUCGGAUUGACGGUACCUUCCAAGAAAGCACCGGCUAACUCCGUGCCAGCAGCCGCGGUAAU
This 180-nucleotide ribosomal RNA is filed under the name uncultured bacterium. Its description in RNAcentral is "partial 16S ribosomal RNA". It matches the Rfam family "Bacterial small subunit ribosomal RNA", at positions 335 to 524 of the family's 1533-position model. The record is from RNAcentral.